Long non-coding RNA from Gastrolobium bilobum, 1438 nucleotides. RefSeq lists it as uncharacterized. Lineage: Eukaryota; Viridiplantae; Streptophyta; Magnoliopsida; Fabales; Fabaceae. The transcript has 7 exons. The record is from RefSeq and is a predicted model, not a curated record.
UCCACAAGGCACUCUUACACUUCACAUUUAUCUAAAAAUCUCAACAUUUAAAUUUUGUCAAUCAUUUCAAUUGCGAUAUAUUUUUUUCUGAUUCUCAAGCAAGCGAGAUAUUUUGGACCUCAGAGAAGGGAAAUUGUUUGGGGUAAAUCUUACCAUUUUUAUUGGUAUGUAAGAACUCCUUCCCAAUCCUUAUUAGAUUUGCGAUUUUGCAUCGAAGCUGAUUCAAUUCGAAAUCUUCCAUGCCAUAAACCCUAAGUUAAUUCCUUAUCUUCAUUUUAGAAUUUUGUGUUGAGCUCAGUCAUUGUUCUUUAUAGGCUCAGAAUCUGGUUUCGAUGGCGCAAGCUCCGAAUCUCCAUCGUGAGCAAUCAACCACAGUCAAGCAACCUGGACUGGAGAUGUCCACAGUUCAAAGUGAACUAGAUUUGUCAUAUAGGCAACGCUAUCAAGGCAUAACCAUUCCAAAGGCUUAUGAGCGUCUAAUUCUUGACACGUAUGCUAUUUUUCCUAGUUCAUGUUUAUGAGCGUCUAAUUCAUCAUUGUGUUCGAAGAGAUGAGUUGAAGGCAUCUUGGGAGAUCUUCACCCCACUUUUGCAUCGCAUUGAUAAAAGGGAGUUCAAGCCAAUCCCUUACAAACCUGGAAGCAGAGGUCCUGCAGAAGCUGAUGCAUUGCUAGAAAAAGCUGGUUUAUAUUAUUUAUUGCAGCGUUGCUAGUUCAGAGUUCUAAUUUCUUUGGUUUAUAUUUAUAAUUGCACUUGCAUUACUAGUUCCAGCACUAUUUGCUGCAGCGUUGCGUCCAUCUAGAUAAAUUAUUAGAAAAUUACAAUUUCUAGUUACUAUGUUUUCCGUGGUUGAUUAUUUGUACAUAUGUACUGAUUCCAUGCAUGCACAUUUCAUUAGUUAAUAAUAAUAACGCAUGAUGUAUCUAGGCACACAAUGGUGGGGUUGUAGCAGUUGAGCUAUCUAGGGUGAUGGGAGGUGCUCCUCAGCUAAUUACAAUUGGUGCAGAUAAGUAAUUGGCAAUAUGGGACACAGUCUCCUUUAAGGAGCUGCGGCGUAUAAAGCCAGUUUCGACCACAAUGUGGCUUCUUGGUGUCAUCCUCGAGCUCCAAACCUUGAUAUUUUAACCUGCGUCAAAGAUUCUCACUAUGGGAAAUUGAACAUCCCACUUAUUCUGCUGUCAUAAAGCCAUUGUGCGAAUUGACUUCAGUUAUUCCUCCUCAAGCUCUUGCUCCUAAUAAGAAACUGAAGGUUACUUGGAAGAUAGGCGUCCGGGGAUCCAUAUGUGGUGACAUCAUUACUGGCAGAGACUAUACUAUUAUGGGAACCAACUCUAGAGGUUGAAGCUCUUGCAGCUCAGAAGAUAGUAUUAGGAUGGAGUCAAUAGUUUGUGUAGAGCUGAAAAGCCCUUUCACUUUCCUUUUAGAUUAUGACGAAAGAG